CCGAAAGGCAGGAGUGCCCGCAAGGGAGCGCGGAGACAGGUGGUGCAUGGCUGUCGUCAGCUCGUGUCGUGAGUUGUUGGGUUAAGUCCCGCAACGAGCGCAACCCUCACCCCUUGUUGCUACCAGGUAAAGCUGGGCACUCUAGGGGAACUGCCCCGGUCAACGGGGAGGAAGGCGGGGAUGACGUCAAGUCAUCAUGCCCCUUACGUCCUGGGCUACACACGUGCUACAAUGGCCGGUACAAAGGGAUGCCACACCGUGAGGUAGAGCUAAACCCAAAAAGCCGGUCUAAGUUCAGAUUGGAGUCUGCAACUCGACUCCAUGAUGGAGGAAUCGCUAGUAAUCGCGUAUCAGCACGACGCGGUGAAUGCGUUCCCGGGCCUUGUACACACCGCCCGUCACACCACGAAAGCCAG
Molecule: ribosomal RNA, 416 nt
Filed under: uncultured Methylomirabilota bacterium
Lineage: Bacteria; Methylomirabilota (SeqCode)
Description: bacterial SSU rRNA
Rfam family: Bacterial small subunit ribosomal RNA
Source: RNAcentral